UCACUAUCAUCACUGCUACAAUAUGCCA
This 28-nucleotide small RNA is filed under the name Bombyx mori (domestic silkworm). Its description in RNAcentral is "piRNA piR-bmo-1635300". The record is from RNAcentral. Lineage: Eukaryota; Metazoa; Arthropoda; Insecta; Lepidoptera; Bombycidae.